Molecule: long non-coding RNA, 998 nt
Organism: Saccostrea cuccullata (small rock oyster)
Lineage: Eukaryota; Metazoa; Mollusca; Bivalvia; Ostreida; Ostreidae
Exons: 3
Source: RefSeq, a predicted model, not a curated record
AACUUUUUCUUAUGCCGACUUCUUACUGUACCAUUUUGGGGUAUAAUAUACUGCAUUUUCUUUAUAUUACUUUACCAUAGUAUUAACUUGGUAGAGGAGGGGGGAUUUAGCUGUAUUUCAAUGAAUAUUUUUUAUAGAAAACUGAGUAAUGUUGGUAUCUUACAUAUGCUUGUAACAGUAAAUUAAUUAUGAGAAAAAAAAUUAAUUAGAACAAGACCAGAUUGAGCAGUUAAUAUACAGUUGAUAUAAGUAGAUUUGAAAAUUCCAAUUAGAAAAAUAAUAAAUCUACUGCAGUUGGGUUAUCAUCUUUUCGGCCUUUUAGUGAACACUAGGUCAAAGUCAAUUCGGCCUUUUAGUCCACACUUUGUCAAAAUCAAAUGAGCGCUUUGUAAGAAGACCACCGUCAUGAUGAUGGAAGUAAGAAGUUUUAAAACUAAACUUUAUUUUAACAAGGGUUAAUUCACGCAGGUUUUUAAAUCAGUUUGAUUGAUUUAGCGUGUGUGAAUUACUCCAUUAACAUCAUCCCCAAAAGUUCCAUUGGAAUUCUGCUGUCAGUGUCUGAAGAAAUGAAUAUGUGUACGAGACUGGAGUGAUAUGAUGAAGAUACCCAACAUAAUGAUUAAAAGAUAAAGAGAAUAAAUCAGAUUGGUGAUCAAUAUCCAAAAGACAGGAUGGUGGAUCUAAAGUUUUUUAAAAAAGAAGAAUUGCUGUCCAUCCAAGUGUUUACAGAAGAUUCCCACUAAUGCAGUUUUUUUCCAUCAGGAAGCAGUUUUGGAAACUGGUCAUUACUCAACAGAAUCAGGAGAUUUCAGUAUUGUAUGCAAACAAAGAUAAGACAGUGUCACUCGCACAAAUUUAAGUCCCCUUUCGGUUGAUUGUACUUUUUCUUAACAAAUAAAAAUCAGUAUCUCAGACACUCCUCUUCUCUUGGCAAGUCAUUUGGUUGAGUUUUCUCUGGCAAUAGGAUUUGUUUAUGACCCUCACUUUAAUUAAAAUGG